AGGCUGACAGCUGUAGCUCCGAUUCCACCCCCCUAGCCUGGGAACCUCCAUAUGACACAGGUGCGGCCCUAAAAAGCAAAAAUCCAUCAUCAAUAAAAAUAAAAGCUAAAAAAAACUUUUGAAAAGCUUUUCCUAGCACAAUGGCUUUUUCACUCCGUAAACAACACUGGGCUUUUUCACCACGGUUUGGAUUUCACUCUCCUACGGCACCAGUGUACAUGUUAUUUAGUAGAUACUGGCAGAGUCAUACAAUAACGAACACUGAAGAUGGAGGGCAACUUACUCAUCCUUUGAAAGGUUAAGGAAACCAACGCCAGAGCUAUGAGUAACCUGUCACACUUCUACAGAACCCAGUUCUUCUCAGGUCAAUCAUUAAACUGGCUUUCUUCCCCGUGGUGGUUACUGGCGGACCAGGCGAGUGUGUCGGGCACAGUACCACUACAGCUCAGGACCGGGCUUCUCGCAUACGUAACCCGGUUCACCCCGAUGUCUACAAACGUCCCCACGGACAAUAAUCCUUGCUGAACAGCAGUCUGGUGGCAAAGGGAAAUGAAGACGGACAAAACGACGUCACUCGACAUGGAAACCAGAAUGCUUUCUCUUUAAUGGGGGUGGGGAAAGUCUCCAUUUUAGCACGUGACACCAAGGCCCUUCCUCAGAGAGACGAUCAGAGCUCACUCUUGAGAGAGCUUAUUACCCACAAACCAGCCACACAUAAGACACAGGAGGAGAAUUCCAAAACUAAGGAAGAGGGUAAUGACGGGCUUCCUGCCAACGGUGUACAGACUGGAAUGAGCCUCGGAGAUGCUGUGCUGCAAGCCAACACUGGCAGGUCCAGUGACCAGCAGGGUACCCGGGAGUGACAGCACCUCCAGCUGCCUGCGAGCAUGACGGCUCCCUUCACAGACGAGACCAUUUAGGCUCAGAGACCUCAGGGGCCCUGAAGAGACUUCGCAGCUCUAGGCAAACUCUUUUGCGACGCUGAGUGCAAACUUACAUUGCGAAGCUACAGGUAUUGUUUGUUGUGACGUUGAGUCCAGGGCAGAAGUUUUGUCCCAAAAACUCAUUAUACUGCAAAGCCUGUAACACAAGGAGGAGCAGGGCAAGGAAAAGCGUUUGACAUUUCAAAGGGUCUCCAAAGAAUCAUCCCCAUCCUGUUUUCCGAGUUUCAUCUUUGCUGCCAUCUCUGAAAACAAACCAGGCUUGAUGUCCACAGUCUUUGUCACACCAGAGCAACUCAAAUGAUUUUCCCUGGCGGUCAAGAAGCCUGGGCUUGGGAUUGUGGCUUCUGGGACAAAAGAAGGAAAGCGUUUGGCCAGGAGGGGAGACCUCUGGCUAAAUUAUGCCAUAGCUCUUUCCUUCCCUCCCCAGUUUUAUAAUCCCCCCCCACACACAGGCAAUCAUUAAAGUAAUAGAGUGGCACUCAAUGAUCACUGCUAAUUUAGGGUAACAAUCUUUUUAUUGUUCUUGUUUGUUCUCAUCAAAACCAGUUCUAAUUCUUGGGAGUUAGAAACUUAAUCAUCCUACAUUAAAGCGCAGUAUUUUCUGGAGUGGGUUAGCUUUCCAAAGCCAGUAGUGGCUGUGUUAUACAGUCUUUACCUUCCUUGCAAUUUCCCUUUCAAUUUAGACUACGUACGCUAGGCUCCCAUCCUCUCAGGGUUCCCCUUACUGAACUGAAACACUGUUCUUUUUCUCUGCAUCACGCAGUCCGUCUCUGGCCUUCACUGUGGGUUUUCUUCAGCCCCCCCACCCUCAACAGCAGGGUGACUGAGAACAUCCUUGGUGAUUAUCGAGGUGCCCCAAGGCUUGAUGGGAAACUCUCCCUCAUUCUCCCAGAGCUGGCCCGACUCCGAGCUAGGGACA
This 1863-nucleotide long non-coding RNA is filed under the name Sus scrofa (pig). Its description in RNAcentral is "lncRNA (ENSSSCG00040026389.1)". Lineage: Eukaryota; Metazoa; Chordata; Mammalia; Artiodactyla; Suidae. The record is from RNAcentral.